UGCAGUCGAGGGGUAACAGGGGAGCUUGCUCCCGCUGACGACCGGCGCACGGGUGAGUAACGCGUAUGCAACCUACCCUUAACAGGAGGAUAGCCCAGGGAAACUUGGAUUAAUACUCCAUGGUUUCACAGAGUCGCAUGGCUUUGUGAAUAAAGUUCCGGCGGUUAAGGAUGGGCAUGCGUGGCAUUAGCUAGUUGGUAAGGUAACGGCUUACCAAGGCGACGAUGCCUAGGGGUUCUGAGAGGAUGAUCCCCCACACUGGGACUGAGACACGGCCCAGACUCCUACGGGAGGCAGCAGUGAGGAAUAUUGGUCAAUGGGCGAGAGCCUGAACCAGCCAUCCCGCGUGCAGGAUGACGGCCCUACGGGUUGUAAACUGCUUUUAUGUACCAAGAAUAGGCGCUACGUGUAGCGUUAUGACGGUAGUACAUGAAUAAGCAUCGGCUAACUCCGUGCCAGCAACCGCGGUAAUACGGAGGAUGCAAGCGUUAUCCGGAUUCAUUGGGUUUAAAGGGUGCGUAGGCGGUCUGAUAAGUCAGUGGUGAAAUGCUGCAGCUCAACUGUAGAACUGCCAUUGAAACUGUCAGACUUGAGUGCGCCUGAGGUAGGCGGAAUGAGUAGUGUAGCGGUGAAAUGCUUAGAUAUCACUCAGAACACCGAUUGCGAAGGCAGCUUACUAAAGCGUAACUGACGCUGAUGCACGAAAGCGUGGGGAGCGAACAGGAUUAGAUACCCUGGUAGUCCACGCCGUAAACGAUGAUAACUCGCUGUUGGCGAUACACAGUCAGCGGCUUAGCGAAAGCAUUAAGUUAUCCACCUGGGGAGUACGAUCGCAAGGUUGAAACUCAAAGGAAUUGACGGGGGCCCGCACAAGCGGAGGAACAUGUGGUUUAAUUCGAUGAUACGCGAGGAACCUUACCUGGGCUUAAAUGUGGAUUGACCGUUGCUGAAAAGUGACUUCCCUUCGGGGCAAUUUACAAGGUGCUGCAUGGUUGUCGUCAGCUCGUGCCGUGAGGUGUCGGGUUAAGUCCCAUAACGAGCGCAACCCUUAUCGUCAGUUGCUAACAGGUAAAGCUGAGGACUCUGGCGAGACUGCCACCGUAAGGUGAGAGGAAGGUGGGGAUGACGUCAAAUCAGCACGGCCCUUAUGUCCAGGGCUACACACGUGUUACAAUGGUCGGUACAAAGGGCAGCUACUUGGCAACAAGAUGCUAAUCCCAAAAGCCGGUCUCAGUUCGGAUUGGAGUCUGCAACCCGACUCCAUGAAGCUGGAUUCGCUAGUAAUCGCGCAUCAGCCAUGGCGCGGUGAAUACGUUCCCGGGCCUUGUACACACCGCCCGUCAAACCAUGGAAGCUUGGGGGACCUGAAGUCUGCAACCGCAAGGAGC
RNAcentral lists this ribosomal RNA (1388 nucleotides) under uncultured bacterium. RNAcentral's name for it is "bacterial SSU rRNA". It matches the Rfam family "Bacterial small subunit ribosomal RNA". The record is from RNAcentral.